UGCAGUCGACGACUCUGGUAUUGAUUGGUGCUUGCAUCAUGAUUUACAUUUGAGUGAGUGGCGAACUGGUGAGUAACACGUGGGAAACCUGCCCAGAAGCGGGGGAUAACACCUGGAAACAGAUGCUAAUACCGCAUAACAACUUGGACCGCAUGGUCCGAGUUUGAAAGAUGGCUUCGGCUAUCACUUUUGGAUGGUCCCGCGGCGUAUUAGCUAGAUGGUGGGGUAACGGCUCACCAUGGCAAUGAUACGUAGCCGACCUGAGAGGGUAAUCGGCCACAUUGGGACUGAGACACGGCCCAAACUCCUACGGGAGGCAGCAGUAGGGAAUCUUCCACAAUGGACGAAAGUCUGAUGGAGCAACGCCGCGUGAGUGAAGAAGGGUUUCGGCUCGUAAAACUCUGUUGUUAAAGAAGAACAUAUCUGAGAGUAACUGUUCAGGUAUUGACGGUAUUUAACCAGAAAGCCACGGCUAACUACGUGCCAGCAGCCGCGGUAAUACGUAGGUGGCAAGCGUUGUCCGGAUUUAUUGGGCGUAAAGCGAGCGCAGGCGGUUUUUUAAGUCUGAUGUGAAAGCCUUCGGCUCAACCGAAGAAGUGCAUCGGAAACUGGGAAACUUGAGUGCAGAAGAGGACAGUGGAACUCCAUGUGUAGCGGUGAAAUGCGUAGAUAUAUGGAAGAACACCAGUGGCGAAAGCGGCUGUCUGGUCUGUAACUGACGCUGAGGCUCGAAAGUAUGGGUAGCAACAGGAUUAGAUACCCUGGUAGUCCAUACCGUAACGAUGAUGCUAAGUGUUGAGGGUUUCGGCCCUCAGUGCUGCAGCUACGCAUUA
This 833-nucleotide ribosomal RNA is filed under the name Lactiplantibacillus plantarum. RNAcentral's name for it is "bacterial SSU rRNA". It matches the Rfam family "Bacterial small subunit ribosomal RNA", at positions 56 to 862 of the family's 1533-position model. Lineage: Bacteria; Bacillati; Bacillota; Bacilli; Lactobacillales; Lactobacillaceae. The record is from RNAcentral.